RNA transcript from Prosopis cineraria, 802 nucleotides. RefSeq lists it as uncharacterized. NCBI's taxonomy places the organism in Eukaryota, Viridiplantae, Streptophyta, Magnoliopsida, Fabales, Fabaceae. The record is from RefSeq and is a predicted model, not a curated record. The transcript is spliced from 2 exons.
CUCCAACCGUUUAUUAACUCUAUUGACGUCCAUUGCUCUUUCCAAUGCCUAUUCUAAUCUUCAAUUUCUCGAGAGCGUUUCCUUUACUUCACUUUCUUCAUUCUAGUUCUACAUACCAGUCUUCCUUCCCUUCGCAUUUCUUGACAGCCAGUUCGGAUUCCUCUCCUCUUAUCGUAGAAUCUCAUGGUUCAGAUGGAUACCAAUCUUUAAUUCAAGCUGUUCUUUUCCUAUAGACGUGAUACACUCUCCCAGAAUUGAACUUAUUUGUUCUCUCAGACUCUCAAUCGUGCUUCUCUCAUCAUUGAAGAAUUUUGCGGAUCCAAAGUUGAGUUCAAUGUCUUUGGGGACCAUACCAAAUGGUGGCCUCGCCGCCGGCAGGUCCACCACUAGUCGUCCCACCUCUGUCUACGGUGAUGUCCAAACCAGUCGUAUCGGCUACAAUCUUCCUCUUCCUUCCGUUCUCUGAAAUCCUCAGGUUGUUGGUGGUCCCUGAAGCUCCGCUGCUGGACAUCCAGGCAUCAACUUAUGCAGUCUAUGAAUUUUCUAGAUUCUUCUCAUCCUUGAGUCUUACAUCAACUUAUGCAAUCUAUCAAUUUGGGGAAUUUCUAUUGUAUAUGUGAAAUUAAGCAUGCGUGCGAGGAGAGGGGGAAAAAAGAAACCACCUCAAGGUCUUAUAUCCCUGCCUUAUUGUUAAUGAGAUAUCCUUUCCUAUUUUAAAGAUAUUCUUGAUACGUGUGUCAUCUAGAAUCCUUAUGAAGUUUUCCUGUGAUAAAUGGUUUCUCUCUCCCAUGUUUUUUCUAGA